GCCAGACUCCUACGGGAGGCAGCAGUGGGGAGUAUUGGACAAUGGGGGGAACCCUGAUCCAGCGACGCCGCGUGAGUGAAGAAGUAUUUCGGUAUGUAAAGCUCUAUCAGCAGGGAAGAAAGAAAUGACGGUACCUGACUAAGAAGCCCCGGCUAACUACGUGCCAGCAGCCGCGGUAAUACGUAGGGGGCAAGCGUUAUCCGGAUUUACUGGGUGUAAAGGGAGCGUAGACGGCAGUGCAAGUCUGGAGUGAAAGGCGGGGGCUCAACCCCCGGACUGCUCUGGAAACUGUACGGCUGGAGUGCAGGAGAGGUAAGUGGAAUUCCUAGUGUAGCGGUGAAAUGCGUAGAUAUUAGGAGGAACACCAGUGGCGAAGGCGGCCUGCUGGACGACAACUGACGGUGAGGCGCGAAAGCGUGGGGAGCAAACAGGAUUAGAUACCCCAGUAC
This 449-nucleotide ribosomal RNA is filed under the name uncultured bacterium. RNAcentral describes it as "bacterial SSU rRNA". It matches the Rfam family "Bacterial small subunit ribosomal RNA", at positions 330 to 793 of the family's 1533-position model. The record is from RNAcentral.